This 301-nucleotide ribosomal RNA is filed under the name uncultured bacterium. RNAcentral's name for it is "partial 16S ribosomal RNA". It matches the Rfam family "Bacterial small subunit ribosomal RNA", at positions 509 to 809 of the family's 1533-position model. The record is from RNAcentral.
CAGUAGCCGCGGGAAUACGAGGGGGGCAAGCGUUGUUCGGAUUUAUUGGGCGUAAAGGGUGCGUAGGCGGUUUGGCAAGUCUUGUGUGAAAUCUUCGGGCUCAACCCGAAGCCUGCACGAGAAACUACCGGGCUUGAGUAUUGGAGAGGUGGGUAGAAUUCCACGUGUAGCAGUGAAAUGCGUAGAGAUGUGGAGGAACACCAGUGGCGAAGGCGACUCUCUGGUCUGUAACUGACGCUGAGGAGCGAAAGCGUGGGGAGCGAACAGGAUUAGAUACCCGCGUAGUCCCUGUCUCUUAUAU